This 87-nucleotide small nucleolar RNA is filed under the name Nicotiana sylvestris (wood tobacco). RNAcentral describes it as "Small nucleolar RNA SNORD18". It matches the Rfam family "Small nucleolar RNA SNORD18". From Rfam's summary of the family: U18 is a member of the C/D class of snoRNA which contain the C (UGAUGA) and D (CUGA) box motifs. It is encoded in introns of ribosomal protein L1 in Xenopus and human, and in introns of elongation factor 1 beta in yeast. Related snoRNAs in Arabidopsis and rice have been named R63 and Z106 respectively. Lineage: Eukaryota; Viridiplantae; Streptophyta; Magnoliopsida; Solanales; Solanaceae. The record is from Rfam by way of RNAcentral. RNAcentral also lists the same sequence under 1 other name.
GAGACAUGAUGAGUGAAUAAUUUUUGGUCCGUGUUUCUGAUUUAACCGUGACCGAUAACCUUUAUUCUUAAUUUACUCUCUGAUCUC